RNAcentral lists this unclassified non-coding RNA (663 nucleotides) under Hevea brasiliensis (rubber tree). The record is from RNAcentral. Lineage: Eukaryota; Viridiplantae; Streptophyta; Magnoliopsida; Malpighiales; Euphorbiaceae.
ACCUUGUUCAAAGGAACUUAGUAAGUAUUCCAUGUUUUAUAAUGUUACUGCCCUUCUUAGGAGUAUUAUUCAAGAGAAUUAACUUUGUUAGAGAUUGGGCUUGUGGGAGUCUGCUGCAUAUAUUUUACAGUUAGAUAGGUGUUUUCCGUUAGACUUGCUGAUGACUCUUUGUUUACAAUAGAGUUGUAAAUGAGUUGAGCUACUCAGAUUCAGCUUGCAAAAUAUUUCAAUUCUCCAAAGUUCUAAUCGAGUCGAGCAGAGCUUAAGUAUUGCAAUGCUGGACUCAAGUACCUCACAAGCCUAAUCGACUAUUUAAAUUCUUGUGAAGUUUUAGAUAAUUUGAUUUUGAGCAAGCUUGAAUUUAUUCGAGCUUUAACUAGAGAUUAACAAGUGAUGUGACCUAAAUUUUCAUUUGUGAUGGAGUCGAGUAUUCCUAUUCUGAUUAUCUCAUUGAGUCAAUUUUGAGCAUGAAAGCGUACUUGAGUUUCAAGUAUUGGGUUUUCUAAGAAUCGAGUUUGAGUACCAUAAAAUAUAUGCUGUCCCAACUUGGAUUGAUUAUAGCCCUUGUAUAUAAUUUCUAAAAUAUUGGCAAAUAAAAUAUAUAUAGCGUUAUUAUUUAUUUUUCCAUUUCCUUGCGACUUUAGGGAUAACUAUAGUAUCGAG